RNAcentral lists this unclassified non-coding RNA (329 nucleotides) under soil metagenome. RNAcentral describes it as "partial contains 5.8S ribosomal RNA, internal transcribed spacer 2, and large subunit ribosomal RNA". The stretch from base 1 to 120 matches the Rfam family "5.8S ribosomal RNA", at positions 35 to 154 of the family's 154-position model. The record is from RNAcentral.
GAUGAAGAACGCAGCGAAAUGCGAUAAGUAAUGUGAAUUGCAGAAUCUAGUGAAUCAUCGAAUCUUUGAACGCACAUUGCGCCCCUCGGUAUUCCGGGAGGCAUGCCUGUUCGAGCGUCAUCGCAACCCUCAAGCACUGCUUGGUCUUGGGCCUCGCCGGCGACGGCCGGCCCUAAAACGAGCAGCGGUGCCUCGGAGCUCUACGCGGAGUAAAUCUUGGAUAACGCGUCUGGGCCUCCGGCGGUGCUCGCUAGAAACCCCGAUUUCACGGUUGACCUCGAAUCAGGUAGGGAUACCCGCUGAACUUAAGCAUAUCAAUAAGCGGAGGA